UCCCUGGCAGUCCAGUGGGUAGGACUCGGCACUUUUACUGCCGUGGCCUGGGUUCAAUCCCUGGUCAGGGAA
Non-coding RNA from Balaenoptera ricei (Rice's whale), 72 nucleotides. The record is from the annotation of a RefSeq genome assembly. Lineage: Eukaryota; Metazoa; Chordata; Mammalia; Artiodactyla; Balaenopteridae.